Molecule: ribosomal RNA, 433 nt
Filed under: uncultured bacterium
Lineage: Bacteria
Description: partial 16S ribosomal RNA
Rfam family: Bacterial small subunit ribosomal RNA
Source: RNAcentral
AACGAACGCUGGCGGCAGGCUUAACACAUGCAAGUCGAGCGAGACCUUCGGGUCUAGCGGCGGACGGGUGAGUAACGCGUGGGAACGUGCCCUUCUCUACGGAAUAGCCCCGGGAAACUGGGAGUAAUACCGUAUACGCCCUUUGGGGGAAAGAUUUAUCGGAGAAGGAUCGGCCCGCGUUGGAUUAGGUAGUUGGUGGGGUAAUGGCCCACCAAGCCGACGAUCCAUAGCUGGUUUGAGAGGAUGAUCAGCCACUCUGGGACUGAGACACGGCCCAGACUCCUACGGGAGGCAGCAGUGGGGAAUCUUAGACAAUGGGGGCAACCCUGAUCUAGCCAUGCCGCGUGAGUGAUGAAGGCCUUAGGGUUGUAAAGCUCUUUCAGCUGGGAAGAUAAUGACGGUACCAGCAGAAGAAGCCCCGGCUAACUCCGUG